GACGAACGCUGGCGGCGUGCUUAACACAUGCAAGUCGAGCGGUAAGGCCCUUUCGGGGGUACACGAGCGGCGAACGGGUGAGUAACACGUGGGUGACCUGCCCCCAGCUCUGGGAUAAGCCUGGGAAACUGGGUCUAAUACUGGAUAUGACUCCACGGUGCAUGUCGUGGGGUGGAAAGCCUUGUGCGGCUGAGGAUGGGCCCGCGGCCUAUCAGCUUGUUGGUGGGGUGAUGGCCUACCAAGGCGACGACGGGUAGCCGGCCUGAGAGGGCGACCGGCCACACUGGGACUGAGACACGGCCCAGACUCCUACGGGAGGCAGCAGUGGGGAAUCUUGCGCAAUGGGCGAAAGCCUGACGCAGCGACGCCGCGUGAGGGAUGACGGCCU
This 388-nucleotide ribosomal RNA is filed under the name uncultured bacterium. RNAcentral describes it as "bacterial SSU rRNA". It matches the Rfam family "Bacterial small subunit ribosomal RNA", at positions 28 to 417 of the family's 1533-position model. The record is from RNAcentral.